AGGACGAACGCUUGCGACGUGCCUAAGAAAUGCAAGUCGAGCGAGGCAGCAAUGCCUAGCGGCGAACGGUCGCGUAACACGUAAGCAACCUGCCCCAAAGACCGGGACAACGUUCCGAAAGGAGCGCUAAUACCGGAUGUGGCCUACGGGUGACAUCGCCUGUAGAUUAAACCGAGCAAUCGGCUUUGGGAGGGCUUGCGGCCUAUCAGCUAGAUGGUGGGGUAACGGCCUACCAUGGCGACGACGGGUAGCUGGU
Molecule: ribosomal RNA, 256 nt
Filed under: uncultured bacterium
Lineage: Bacteria
Description: partial small subunit ribosomal RNA
Rfam family: Bacterial small subunit ribosomal RNA
Source: RNAcentral